CGUAAAGGUGCAUGAGUGGUGUUUGGUUUGUUACGGGUAGUUGGCUCUUUGCUUGCGCAACAACUUCUACCUGGCAUACCUCUUCAGUCUUGUGUCAAUGCUUGUAUUGCAUUGAAUGCAUGGUGGGUUUCUUGUGUUGCAUGCCUAAUUAAUGGUAUCGCUWGAUGUAUUGGUUUUCCUUUCGUCUUGCGUCGCCUAUGCGAUGUGAGAUGAACCUAGAAGCAGCCUUUGUGACCCACUCUUUUGAUGCACACGCAUUGAUUUUGUGGCCCAUUGAGUGUUGCUUGGUCUCAUGGAUAUGGAACCUGGUGUGGGCAUGGAAUCUUAAUGGUUCCUUGUUUGCCCAAGUUUAGCUUUUCUAAAACGAUUGUCU
This 373-nucleotide unclassified non-coding RNA is filed under the name Helichrysum miconiifolium. RNAcentral describes it as "contains 5' external transcribed spacer, ETS". Lineage: Eukaryota; Viridiplantae; Streptophyta; Magnoliopsida; Asterales; Asteraceae. The record is from RNAcentral.